RNAcentral lists this ribosomal RNA (548 nucleotides) under Macaca mulatta (Rhesus monkey). Its description in RNAcentral is "partial large subunit ribosomal RNA". It matches the Rfam family "Bacterial large subunit ribosomal RNA", at positions 1816 to 2597 of the family's 2925-position model. The record is from RNAcentral. Lineage: Eukaryota; Metazoa; Chordata; Mammalia; Primates; Cercopithecidae.
CACCUCUAGCAUUACCAGUAUUAGAGGCACUGCCUGCCCGGUGACACAUACUCAACGGCCGCGGUACCCUGACCGUGCAAAGGUAGCAUAAUCACUUGUUCUUUAAAUAGGGACUUGCAUGAAUGGCACCACGAGGGUUCAGCUGUCUCUUACUUUCAACCAGUGAAAUUGACCUGCCAGUGAAGAGGUGGACAUAAAAUAAUAAGACGAGAAGACCCUAUGGAGCUUUAAUUUAUUAAUGCAAUCAAAAUCAUACAAAUCUACGGACCCUUAAACCACUACAUCUGCAUUAAAGAUUUGGUUGGGGUGACCUCGGAGCAUAACUAAACCUCCGAAUAACCUAUGCUAUGACUACACAAGCCAAAGCGAGCCAACAUCUGUAAUUGAUCCAAUAACUUGAGGAACGGAACAAGUUAUCCUAGGGAUGACAGUGCAAUCCUAUUCUAGAGUCCAUAUUGACAAUAGGGUUUACGACCUUGAUGUUGGAUCAGGACAUCCUAAUGGUGCAGCAGCUAUCAAGGGUUCGUUUGUUCAACGAUUAAAGUCCU